GCACGUCGCCAAACCAGCACCACAGUACAGGAGGACAAUCCAGAGGAGGGACCCUCUGCUGCUGCAGGGACCCCUGCACCCAGCAGCCCUGCGGACUCAGACAUAACUGCCAGCCAAGACACAGACCCUGGUGAAGGACCAUGCACACGGCCACCCUCAGUUGUCUCAGGAGCCACAUCAGAGUCACCCACCCUGGGGGAGGAUGAAGACCAGCAGGGGGAGGAGCAACAGAGAGAUGAGGAGGGAGAUGCUGAUUAUGGGGAAAGGCCACUCAGAAGGCCCCCUCAGCGAG
Long non-coding RNA from Sphaerodactylus townsendi, 292 nucleotides. RefSeq lists it as uncharacterized. The transcript is spliced from 3 exons. The record is from RefSeq and is a predicted model, not a curated record. NCBI's taxonomy places the organism in Eukaryota, Metazoa, Chordata, Lepidosauria, Squamata, Sphaerodactylidae.